This 482-nucleotide ribosomal RNA is filed under the name uncultured bacterium. RNAcentral describes it as "partial 16S ribosomal RNA". It matches the Rfam family "Bacterial small subunit ribosomal RNA", at positions 30 to 507 of the family's 1533-position model. The record is from RNAcentral.
AUUGAACGCUGGCGGCAUGCCUUACACAUGCAAGUCGAACGGUAACAGGUCUUCGGAUGCUGACGAGUGGCGAACGGGUGAGUAAUACAUCGGAACGUGCCCAGACGUGGGGGAUAACGAGGCGAAAGCUUUGCUAAUACCGCAUACGAUCUAAGGAUGAAAGCAGGGGACCGCAAGGCCUUGCGCGUUUGGAGCGGCCGAUGGCAGAUUAGGUAGUUGGUGGGAUAAAAGCUUACCAAGCCGACGAUCUGUAGCUGGUAUGAGAGGACGACCAGCCACACUGGGACUGAGACACGGCACAGACUCCUACGGGAGGCAGCAGUGGGGAAUUUUGGACAAUGGGCGAAAGCCUGAUCCAGCAAUGCCGCGUGCAGGAUGAAGGCCUUCGGGUUGUAAACUGCUUUUGUACGGAACGAAAAGGCUCUGGCUAAUACCUGGGGCACAUGACGGUACCGUAAGAAUAAGCACCGGCUAACUACGUG